Ornithodoros turicata is the source of this 1496-nucleotide long non-coding RNA. RefSeq lists it as uncharacterized. The transcript is spliced from 9 exons. The record is from RefSeq and is a predicted model, not a curated record. NCBI's taxonomy places the organism in Eukaryota, Metazoa, Arthropoda, Arachnida, Ixodida, Argasidae.
UUGUGUUUCUCAUUCAUGCAGAGCAAGAGGUGCAACAAAUAGAACAGAAUCUCCCCAAAUAUCGCGUAAAGGGCUUUUCGCCAGCAGUGAUGCCGUGGGCAGUUCGAGGGUGUGUAAACCGUAAAACCAAGAGCAACGGCCCGGGCUGUCGCAUGCACAAAAUCCCGUCGAGCGAACCAGCCCGAAGCCGGUGGCUCGCAUUAAUUUACCGUCCGAAUAUUAUUAUACCGAACACCGACGUUCGAACAUGCGGUCUACACUUCAAACCGACAGCUUACGAAUCCCCCGCAAACGUCGUGAAAUCUGUGGGUGCGGACUUCCGAAUCUAUUUGAAGCGCGGCGUUGCUCCCUCCCAAGAUCUACCGGGCCAACCUGUGCAGAACGAGCGGGAGCAAAUGAACACUGCAGCUGUAACAGUUGUUGGAGAGGAGACUGAGAUCAAGGUUGAAACAACUGUGCAGAGCACUGCGCGGAGUGAUACCGCAGAAACUAAAACAUAGUCCUCGUGGAAAGAUUGUGCCUAUUGUGCAGAGUACCGAGUCGCAGCGCACAGUCCUUCAAACAGAAAUGGCGGCAGCGCCGGAACCUGGACACGGGCUUUUUCCAGAUGUCCUUAAAUCUGGGAGCUGUUGCUGUCGUCUGCUACGGUAGUUGUACGUCCACUUCUGCACGUUCAAAAUCCAAACUUCCAUCGUCCAUGAUGCAGAUCUCGCGGGCCGAUUAGUAGAGCCCCUAGCAGAUCGUGCGGACAGGCUUCUCAUAAGGGUUGCCGAUUACGGCAGGGUCGUUAUAAUCUAGUCGGUCAUGGAGCAGACAUACCCAUCUCGGUCCCUUCCUGCACUGUGCAAAGAUGCCUCGAUGCAAGUCUGUGGCCUGCUGAAGAAAACCGUGGCAGUGCAGACAUGUAAACCGAGGCGCGUUCCAAAAGGCACCCAAGCGCACCUCCACGCCAAACUCAUGCGAGCCAUCGGUGUACAAGAGGGCAACACUGGUAGCUCUUCUUGGGAGCAAGCACAUAGCAGAUCUCCCUCUCCGGAUCACUGUCCUCAGCUAAUGCUGGAUGAGAAGGCCCUACAGUAAUGGCAACAAUGCCUGGCUGACCCUCUGAAGCACAAAAUAGCAACGGCUGCCUGAAGUUUUCGAAGGACGAAAGAACAUACACCAUAAAGUGGACGUCGAGUACAGGAAUGGUUCAAUUGCUGUGAGGCGAUCGUUGAAGACUUCCUGUCGCCGCUUCUAUUGAACCCCUGGUGAGGAAGCCAUAAGCCUAAUGUUGCGCCAUCUCGCCAAGAACAGCUACACUCAGCGUCUGGAACCUGUUGCAUUGGCAGCCUUCCAGGCAAAAUGACCACCCUUCUACACCACGUGAUCCACAGCGACGAAUUGUGCCACAUUGGUGUACCUUCAAUGCCAUGCCACGUCUUGAAUCAGUGGUACAUGUGCGGAACUGCUGAAUGAAACUGCUUUAUGAAUAAAAUAAAGAAAAAAAUGGCGUU